This 253-nucleotide ribosomal RNA is filed under the name uncultured bacterium. RNAcentral describes it as "partial 16S ribosomal RNA". It matches the Rfam family "Bacterial small subunit ribosomal RNA", at positions 524 to 776 of the family's 1533-position model. The record is from RNAcentral.
UACGUAGGGCGCAAGCGUUGUCCGGAAUUAUUGGGCGUAAAGAGCUCGUAGGCGGCUUGUCACGUCGGGUGUGAAAGCCCGGGGCUUAACCCCGGGUCUGCAGUCGAUACGGGCAGGCUAGAGUGUGGUAGGGGAGAUCGGAAUUCCUGGUGUAGCGGUGAAAUGCGCAGAUAUCAGGAGGAACACCAACGGCGAAGGCAGCUCGCUGGGACGGUACUGACGCUGAGACGCGAAAGCGUGGGUAGCAAACAGG